GAUGAACGCUGGCGGCGUGCUUAACACAUGCAAGUCGAACGGAAAGGCUCCUGCUUGGUGGGGUACUCGAGUGGCGAACGGGUGAGUAACACGUGGGUGAUCUGCCCUUCACUUCGGGAUAAGCCUGGGAAACUGGGGCUAAUACCGGAUAGGAGGUUGGGUUGCAUGCCGUUGUGGGAAGAUUUUCCGGUGUGGGGUGGGCUCGCGGCUUAUCAGCUUGUUGGUGGGGUAUUGGCUUACCAAGGCGUCGACGGGUAGCCGGCCUGAGAGGGUGUACGGCCACAUUGGGACUGAGAUACGGCCCAGACUCCUACGGGAGGCAGCAGUGGGGAAUAUUGCACAAUGGGCGGAAGCCUGAUGCAGCGACGCCGCGUGGGGGAUGACGGCCUUCGGGUUGUAAACUGCUUUCGCUAGGGACGAAGCGCAAGUGACGGUACCUGGAGAAGAAGCACCGGCUAACUACGUG
This 466-nucleotide ribosomal RNA is filed under the name uncultured bacterium. Its description in RNAcentral is "partial 16S ribosomal RNA". It matches the Rfam family "Bacterial small subunit ribosomal RNA", at positions 28 to 507 of the family's 1533-position model. The record is from RNAcentral.